GGGAAAACAGAGAGGACAGGAAAAACGGGAGAAUAGGUAGGGUCGGACGUUCACAAAAAAGAAAAGGGAAACAAGAAGAAGAAUGCGAACUGUACUCUCAGGCGGUCUGCAAAUUCUGCACAAAAACGGACAAAAGCCCGGCUUAUAUCCUUAGCGGCACGUGGAAAAGCGUUGUCUACCUGCGUCUUCAAUAUAAGCUUUUCCAUCUUUCUGUCUCCACGAUGCGGUCGUAGACUUUACGAAAAUAGAAUAUACUUGGAACAGAAAAUAUAUGUAUACUGCAGGUUAUUCGAUGUUCGUCAAAUGAAUUCCUAAUAACGACAAA
Molecule: long non-coding RNA, 325 nt
Organism: Pogonomyrmex barbatus (red harvester ant)
Lineage: Eukaryota; Metazoa; Arthropoda; Insecta; Hymenoptera; Formicidae
Source: RefSeq, a predicted model, not a curated record